Non-coding RNA from Pantherophis guttatus, 4762 nucleotides. The record is from RefSeq and is a predicted model, not a curated record. NCBI's taxonomy places the organism in Eukaryota, Metazoa, Chordata, Lepidosauria, Squamata, Colubridae.
CCGGGAGUGAGUGGGUGGGGGAGCGCAAGAUCCUUUUUCCUGCCCAUUUAACUCCCACCCAUCUGCUGGAAAAGUCAGAACCAUUGCACCGAGCAUCAAAGCAGCCCAUAAUUAAAAGCAUCAGACUCCAGCAAGCCUCUCCCCUCCCUGAGUCUGCGCUGGACUUUAUCCCGCAGGGUGGACAGGACAGAUUCUGGGCAAAACCUUCACCCAAGCCCCACCCCCAGCUGUGCUUCACCAUCCCAGAGCAGAGCCCCUUGCCUUGAGUGAGCCAGUUACAGUCCCACCACCUACGCGGAGGACCGAAGGGGGCAACUGAGGAAUCAAGAGGAAUACAGACCUUCUUCGAGCAGGGCUGUUCCAGUGCUGAGUUCUCGGGAUUGCCACUGUCUGCAGACUCUUUUUCAACCCCCAUCUUCAGACCAGUGACAGGAGGCUCAGCCUCUUCCAGCCCCAGAGAUGAGAUGGGGAGCUUUUGCUCUGGGUCAGCAUCUGGCACGAUGGUGAUGCGGAAGACCAGGCAGUUGAGGGCAUCCUCCUGCACCAGCCCUGCCCCUCGUCCUGCAGGACCAGAGGUCACCAUCCCUCCCAGUCCUCCUCCUGCUGUCCGUCAAGAUUCCACCUUAAGAAACUCAUUUGCCGGACGGAGCUCCAGUCUCCGAAGGAAGACCUGUGACCCACCUCCCAUAGUGGCCACUGAACCUGGGGCCAGGCGGGCCUAGACUCGACCUGCUGGGAAAUGGGAAUCCUCUGCCUGGAACUUGCUGGGCACUGCAGCAGAAAGAAAGACCAUCUGCAAUGAGAGGGAAGCCUUUUCUUCCUGAGGCUGCCAGGGCCACAGAGGCUGGGUGGAGCAGAAGGUGCCCACCACAAGCAGUUCUAGCCUCAGCCCCGCCGGAGACGGUGCCCACCACCGAAGCAACGAGCAGCACGAGCUCUGGCACAGGGUUUUUCAGGGGACGUGGGCAGACAUGCCAAUGAGACUUCAAGUUCCGCCUCGCAUCGAAAUGAGACAUUGGAGGCCCAGCCAGGCACAAACAGCUGAUAACAGCCUCUCAGACCUGGGCAAUCUGGAGCUAAUGCAGACCAGAGCAGCAGCGGUAAGUGUGCCCCCCCCCCCAGCAAAGUAGUGCCAGCUGCAGCACCAUUCCUGGGCACCCUUUGCCAGAGUGCACGUGCCUUGCCCAGGAACCGUGAGGGUUCCCCUUCCCAGAAAGUGCCAGAGACUCUCCUUUGCCACCGUGCCAACCCUGAGCCCUUGCUACCCCAGUCCAGGCUAAGGGCUGCUCUCAGUUCCAAGCCUGGGAGAACAGCGCUGUUCUCGGGGCUUCUCCCUGGAAGAAUGAAAGAUGGUGGGACAUUCAAACUGGAAUUUUCCACUUGGUUGUGGACAGAAAUCUGUGGGUGGAAACCGCUUUGGCUUAGUGCAAAUGCACCACAAAGGAGGCUGGUGCAUUAAGGGGCAUUUUGGUACCAGACAAGCAAACCUUUCCAGAUCGGCUGCAGGGAGAGUGGGGCAUUAAGCUUUUUUAAAAAAACUUACUCUGUUCCUUUGCAGCUCAGAAGGAGCAUCUGAACGGAGCCAACUUCCUUCCAAGAAAAUAUAACAAAGCAAAUCAAAAAAGUGUGUGCAAAUUAGGGCCUGGUUUGCAUAGGUUUUCAAUUUGAAUGCUCCUUCCCCUGAGACUCUGCAGCGUUUGCCUUUUGUUGGAAGUUCAGCAGUUGCUGUCCGUCACGGAGGGCAUAUUUUAAGGGGAGGCUGUCACAUGCAAAGAGCCUUUCUCUCCCCCCCCAGCUCUCCUUCCUUCCGCAGGAGGAACAAGGGAGCUUCUGAGCCUCAAGAAGGAACAGUGGUGAUCCUGCUUUAGGCCACGGGAUGCCUGGGGCAGCUCCUCCCUGGCAAGAGAGCCACUGUGAGGACAGACCCCAAAGGGAGAGGAGGCCAUCGUGAAGGGAGGCCCCCAGCUGCACCUGGAGAGGAAGUGGCCCAGCCAAAGCAGCAAUGGGGCAAGGCCGCCCUGGGGCAGAUGUGACCAGCGGAAGCGACCAGGGAGGCCCCAGGCUGGAGUUGAAGCAGGAAGCUGUGGUGGCCCAGCAGAGCAGAAGCUGCAACUUUGGUGAAAGAACAGGUGCUGCACAGAAACAACCUCUCCUCCUCCUCCUCGCCUUAAAGAAAGCUGACCCCAACCAAAGGCCAAACCCACUCCUGAUGAAAGGGCAAAUGUGAAUGCAAAAAGCAGCCGGCUGGAGCAAGCUCUCCUGUCCUAAGAAGUCCCACCAGCCUGACGUCAUGGGGCCCAGGGCAGCUGAAGCUCCUAGCAAAAUUCUGGCAGGCGAGCAGCGCUGGUUGGCUGGCUGGUCGGUUGGCUCUUCCGGCCUUUGCAUCUGUUUUCCUUUGUGAGAUUGGAAGGAUGCAGCCCACCUGGAGGGAUGAGUCAAGCAGGAGGGCCUGAUCGUCCCUCCCUGCCACGUUGGGAGAAGGCACCAAAUAUGUUCCACUGAGCAAGCGCUGCUCUUGUGAUGAAGGGGGAAGAUUUGAGAAACAGGCACCAUCUAUAAAUAGAGCUGGGUGGGCACAUGGGAAUUCCAGAGAGCCCAGACCUGAGCAACAGCUGCCUUCUGAAGAAGAUGGAGCUCUCCUCUCAGUCACUGCUAGGAAAAAUAUCCAGGGAUGGGGAGGAAUAAAGGAAACUAGGCUUUCUGGGAACAGAUGAGGCAGAGGCCUGCAGCAACCCUUGGCAGAAGAUUCCACGCUGGGUUUCCAGCACCUCAAGUUAUGGGGCCUCGCAGAGGAAGCAUCUUAACGUGAUAAGGAGCCCCAAGGGAGGCUGGAGAUGCCAGCCCAGAGGAACUGAAGAGAAGGCCUCUUCCACUGGUGCAAAAUGUGGGCAGAGCAGCCGUCCGAAGGCCCUGCGCUGCCCUGGAAAUGGAGUGAGGAAGGAGGAGGACUUCGGUGGAUGGGCUAAAGGAAUGCCCCGAGGCCUGCAAGGAAAGCCACAGGGAGGGGUAGAAGACGGAGGCAUCAAUUCAGAAGAACCUCCGCCAAGCAAGGUGGCAUUUCCAGGCUCUGCUCUUGUAAUGGCCUUGCCUUGCCCAGCCCUGGCCCCACCCUCCCCUCUAGCCUUGCACAGCGCCCCCCACAGAUUCCCCGAUGUGGCUCAGCAGAUGGAGUCAGCUCUCUUUCCAGCACUCUGCAGGCCCAUCUUCUGCAGGAGAAGCUGCCAACCCCUAGCCCAGCUUUCCCUCCAGUGCAAAUGGCUGCAUUUUCACAGGCUGCGCCCCCAGCCCCCUUCUUGUCUUGUGCAGAGUGGAGGGAGUCCCUCAGCCCAGCCGGCAAAGCAACUGCAUGACAUGCUCCAUCAUGUAGGACAAAUCAGACGCUCCCGCCAUAAAUCUACCACUAAAUCACUCUGUUGGCACAUCUCAUGCUGGGAAAGCCGAAAGAGGAAAUAAUCAGGCCUCAAGUUGCCGAUCAUCACGAUGGCUGCAGGAGCCUCUGCUGCCAGCCAGGUGUGGGCAGGGGCACCUCUGAAGGACCACAGCUGCUGAUCUGAGUCUUGCCUUGACCUCAGGGGCCAAGGGGCCCUUCAACCCCAGGUGGGCAAACAGGAUGCCAGUGCCCACACACCUCCCCCCAGGGCCCCUGAGCAAGUUUGUCCUCUCCCCAGUUCCCUGCUGCCAUUUCUCCCUACAGGCUUAGAAGCAGGUUGGAGAGGCUGCCUUAGGUGUCUUACAGAACUACAACUCCCAGGUGUAUAAUAACCUGUUACGGGACCACCACAAUGUGGCACAGAAGCAGCCUGGCAGAGCAGUUAGAUAGCUUUGAUCUCAGUUACUGUGCAGUUCUGCCACCCACCCAUGGCUGUGGAUUGAGGAAUUGUUCAGUAGGGCGGUGCAAUACUACACUUUCUGAUAAAUUAAGGGUAAUUAUGCUGGCCCUGGUUUAAAAGAAAAAAUGGGGGUGGGGGGAGGACCAAACUGUGAGCAUGUGCAGUGCAGUCUUUAAGCUUGAUGAAAUCAUCUCAGCUGUGGGAACCAAGGGAAGCAGCUUUCCCCUGUUCUGAGGUUAAGAAUGACAUCUUGAGAACCAGGCCCAGUUUGUUGUUGUAACAUUGAGUUUGAAGGGCAAUCAGGGUGCGAUUGUAGCCCUGCCUGCACAGCUCGGAGGGUGACUGAAGGCUUCUUUUCAAAGAUGGAAGCCAAGUGGGUAGGCAGACCUGGCCACUCUCCAGAUGGGCACCAGUGGCCCCUGCGUUCUCAGGGCUGGGUUCAGGGCCAGACCCCAGGAUUUGCUCCUUGCUGCAUCACUUGGCUUGGGUAGGGUCUAGGGUGCUGCUUUGUGAGUGCAUUAGCGGCUGGCACCCAGUUCUAGGAAGAGAAGCUAUGUGUGAAGAGGCAGCCCCGAUGUGGGUGAGGGUGGGCACUGGUUUCUAGCUGUGUUCUCGGAGGAGGCGGAAGCUGCCUGGCCCUGGGCCUCUCCAAGAGCACAAUUGCUGGUCCGGCACUCUCCCUCCCUGUCCAUCCCCCCCCCUCUGCUGAUCUGGGUGCCAAAACCUGAAGCUGAAGGGGGAGGGAAGAUUGAGGGGAUAAACCGCUUUUGUGGGGUGGGGGGAGAAGAGCCAGAAAGCCUGUAAGUGCAUUUGCAUACUCUGAGCUUAAUUCUCUGAGGGUAUGCAAAUAUAUGCAAACAGCAAUCCAGCGAGAGUCAGAAAUAGCAGAGAACAUUAAAAUCACCCUACUUGAAUAUUGUUUUAUGCAAACG